This 253-nucleotide ribosomal RNA is filed under the name uncultured bacterium. RNAcentral describes it as "partial 16S ribosomal RNA". It matches the Rfam family "Bacterial small subunit ribosomal RNA", at positions 524 to 776 of the family's 1533-position model. The record is from RNAcentral.
UACGUAGGGACCAAGCGUUGUUCGGAUUUACUGGGCGUAAAGGGCGCGUAGGCGGCGCGGUAAGUCACUUGUGAAAUCUCUGAGCUUAACUCAGAACGGUCAAGUGAUACUGCUGUGCUAGAGUGCGGAAGGGGCAAUCGGAAUUCUCGGUGUAGCGGUGAAAUGCGUAGAUAUCGGGAGGAACACCUGUGGCGAAAGCGGCUCACUGGACCACAACUGACGCUGAGGCGCGAAAGCUAGGGGAGCAAACAGG